AUUGAACGCUGGCGGCAGGCCUAACACAUGCAAGUCGAGCGGAUGAAGGGAGCUUGCUCCUGGAUUCAGCGGCGGACGGGUGAGUAAUGCCUAGGAAUCUGCCUGGUAGUGGGGGAUAACGUCCGGAAACGGGCGCUAAUACCGCAUACGUCCUGAGGGAGAAAGUGGGGGAUCUUCGGACCUCACGCUAUCAGAUGAGCCUAGGUCGGAUUAGCUAGUUGGUGGGGUAAAGGCCUACCAAGGCGACGAUCCGUAACUGGUCUGAGAGGAUGAUCAGUCACACUGGAACUGAGACACGGUCCAGACUCCUACGGGAGGCAGCAGUGGAGAAUAUUGGGCAAUGGGCGAAAGCCUGAUCCAGCCAUGCCGCGUGUGUGAAGAAGGUCUUCGGAUUGUAAAGCACUUUAAGUUGGGAGGAAGGGCAGUAAGUUAAUACCUUGCUGUUUUGACGUUACCAACAGAAUAAGCACCGGCUAACUUCGUG
Molecule: ribosomal RNA, 484 nt
Filed under: uncultured bacterium
Lineage: Bacteria
Description: partial 16S ribosomal RNA
Rfam family: Bacterial small subunit ribosomal RNA
Source: RNAcentral